CUUCCACAUUUACAGACUUCAAGUAUCAGUGAAAUCAUUUCAUAUUUAAUCUUCAUAUCCCUUUCUCUCUCUGAAAAAGGAAAAAGGAAAGUAUCACAAAAUUAAACCCAAUCUAUCUUCUAUCUCAACUAACCAAUCUAUCUUUGUAUCUAUCGAUCAAAGUAUAUAUAUCUGACGGAGGCAGUGGUGAACAUGGUUUUGAUAUGGCCAGUUGUUGCGACAGAGAUGACGAACAAUGUUUCAAUGUCCGGCCGAUGAUAUUACGACUUUUCAGAUCUACAUUGGAUCUAUAUAUUGUCGUGAUUAUGUUAUUUAAAUUGAUUGUAAGUUUUGAGAGAACUUUUCUGAUUUAAUUUUGGUUGGUAAAAAAGAUAAUAUUCUUGUUAUUGGUAAUUUUGGGUUAUGUAAUAUACUUUUCUUUUCUUUUUUUAUAUAAAACUUGGUAGUCCUGAAACAUCACCGAAGCUGUUAUAUAUGUUUCAUGGUUAACAGGUCGUGUCAGACCUGUUAUGCCAGCCCCACUGGGGACUCAGGAAUUUACUUUGGAUUCUCGGCCGACUCGGGGAGUUAUACAUAUUUGGAUUAUUGGUAAACCUUAUGUUUGUUAAGACUUGUAUGUGGAUCUACUCGAACAAAAACACUCAUUACAAGCACAUAUAUAUAUGAUAUAGUGUAUGUUCUCUCAA
Erigeron canadensis is the source of this 686-nucleotide long non-coding RNA. RefSeq lists it as uncharacterized. NCBI's taxonomy places the organism in Eukaryota, Viridiplantae, Streptophyta, Magnoliopsida, Asterales, Asteraceae. The transcript is spliced from 2 exons. The record is from RefSeq and is a predicted model, not a curated record.